GCCGGAGUGGUGAAACUGGUAGACGCACGGGACUCAAAAUCCCGCGGGUGCAAGCCCGUGUCAGUUCGAUUCUGACCUCCGGCACCA
RNAcentral lists this transfer RNA (87 nucleotides) under Desulfobulbaceae bacterium. RNAcentral describes it as "tRNA-Leu". It matches the Rfam family "tRNA". From Rfam's summary of the family: Transfer RNA (tRNA) molecules are approximately 80 nucleotides in length. Their secondary structure includes four short double-helical elements and three loops (D, anti-codon, and T loops). Lineage: Bacteria; Pseudomonadati; Thermodesulfobacteriota; Desulfobulbia; Desulfobulbales; Desulfobulbaceae. The record is from RNAcentral.